Molecule: unclassified non-coding RNA, 308 nt
Filed under: Lactobacillus sp. rennanqilyf13
Lineage: Bacteria; Bacillati; Bacillota; Bacilli; Lactobacillales; Lactobacillaceae
Description: 16S-23S ribosomal RNA intergenic spacer
Source: RNAcentral
AAGGAUAUUUUCGGAAUACAAACCUUGGGUUUGUAAGAUUACGUUUUGCGUUCAGUUUUGAAGGUUCAUCAUUACGAUGAAAUACUUCAAAACCUUGUUCUUUGAAAACUGGAUAAAACGACAUUGAAAUUGUAACAAACACAUUUAUUUUUUAAAUUAAGUUUUUAGGCUUAAUAACUAAUAAUAGGGUUUCAAGACACAAGCAGUUCUGGGAAGCGAACGAGUGAAUGAAGGAGCGUACUUACGUACGUGACUGAUUGAACGAGAGAAGCUGACAACGAAAUGCGCAGUGGAUUGGAAGCCGAUAG